AGAAAGAAAAGGGAAGAAAAGAAGAAGAACAAAACCCUAGCUAAGAAAUUCAAGAGAAAUUCACCAAAUUUCAAGGAAUCAAGCCAUUAAAGGUAAAAUUUCUUAAUUCUAGCUUGUGUCUACCUUUCUUAUGCAUUAUUUUGCAUUUUCCAUGGUUGAAUCACAAGAUACCAUGAAGGAUAGUGUGCUGAUCAAACCUUAGGAGAGAGAAUUUGAUGAUGAAUUUAGUUAGAAAACAUGUUAUUCUAGUGUUUUUAGUUGUUUGGUGAUGUGUAGUAUGAAAAGCAAGCAAGAAAAAUUCAUGUUCUUACAUCACCUUCAUUGGCCGAAUAUUCCAUGUGGAAUAUUGAUGAUGAAUUUGAUUGAAUUUCAAGUGAUUUGAUUAGGAAUGAAUGAUUUAUGGUGUGAGAAUCAAGCAUGAAAAAUUAUAUUGUUAGUGCACUCACCAUGGCCGAAAUUUUCAAGAGAAAAUGUGAGGAUGAUUUUGCCACAUUUCAAGUUAUUUAAAUUGUGUUUAAUGAUUUGGAGUAUUGUGAGAGAAAUGGAAUUGUUUAGAGUUGAAUUGGACGUAUUGGUCAAUUAAUCAGGUGAUAGAUCGAAUUAGGUCAAUACCAUUUUAUUUAGGUACAUAAUUGAAUUUAUAUUGAACACCGUAUUUAGAUAGUUACCCGAGUAUUUCACAUCCCAUUUCAUGCAUUAGUAUAGAGCCUGAAUUGGUUUUACAACGGUUUAACACAAAUGUAGCAAAUUGCUUAUUGUGCAUUAUGUCUAGGUGGUGAGCAUUCUGGCAAGAGUAAAAAGGUAGUGUCCGAGGAUCAAGAAUCAGAGUAUCCCGAAUUCGAUUCCCAUUACAGUGAGUAACCUUAUCAUCAUCUUAAUUAUCUGAAGUGAAUUUUAAUUCGUUUUUGUGAUUUUAUAGAAAAUGAGUUUAAAUGGUAAAUCUUUGUGUUUUAUAAGCAAAAUGUGAUUAAAUGAAAUGAUUUUAUAAAAUUGUCUUGAAAUUGAAUGAUGGUUUUGAAAAUGGAGUAAUUGGAGACUACUUGUUGUGUUGUAAAUUAUGAUUUGAAUAGAAUGGCUUAUGAUAAUGUGAGCAUGAGUGGCUGGAUUGGUAAUUGUGCUAAACAUAUGUGAACAAUUGUUUUGCCUUGACAUGUUGUUUUGUAAAAUAAUUGCCACGUUAUGCUGCUGAAAUUUUAUUAAUUUGGUGGGAUAUCGAUUAGCUUAUUGUAAUGGGUGGGUUUCUGUGGAUCAGCCUAUUAGAGGGGCACGGUAAACCCGUUAUAUUCUUACCUCAGUCUGAGAGGCACGUAGGGUAACUCCUGAGGUGAAAUUUUAGAGUUCACUUCAUGUUGAACCACCACGUGAGGGUAAAUUCAGCCAACGCCAAGGAACGGCUAUGUUUUCAAAAUAAAAACAUGAUUUAUGAGUACAUGACUUUUUAACAGCCUUGGCGGAUUCGGUUGGGAUAGCCCCAGGUCAAGGUAUCCCUGACAACUGAGUAUGAAAAUGAUUUUGACAUGAGCCAAGCUUUUCAGGAAAUCAUAAGUCUCGUUUAUUUGGGUGAAAUGAAUCUAUUUUAUCUUAUUAAUAUGAGUUCGAAAUGCUGCGAAUCAUUUUUAUGCUAAUCUAUUUAUCUGUCUCCAUUUACUCAGCUUUAGAUAUUUUAGAUGAUAUUUGUUUACUCACUGGGAUUAUAUAAUCUCACCACCCUCCUUUCCACCCAUUUCAGGAUCAGGAUAGUCGGUAGAUAGCUCAUUUCGUUGAGGGUUACAGUUGGACUUGCAUCCUCAAAAAACAAACUGUAGGUUCACAGCCUUCAUUACUUUUAGUCAUUCGGGGGCCCACAUGUCAUUGUUAAAUGUUUUGAAUACCUAGCUGCAUGUGCU
Molecule: long non-coding RNA, 1886 nt
Filed under: Theobroma cacao (cacao)
Lineage: Eukaryota; Viridiplantae; Streptophyta; Magnoliopsida; Malvales; Malvaceae
Description: long non-coding RNA (TCAC_LNC001915)
Source: RNAcentral